GUUAUAUGGUCAAGUGAUUAAGCGCAUAUGGUGGAUGCCUAGGCGGUAGAAGGCGAUGAAGGACGUGGUAAUCUGCGAUAAGCCCCGGUAAGCCGAUAAACAGGCUCUGACCCGAGGAUUUCCGAAUGGGGUAACCCACCCGCAAGGGUAUCCGCAUCUGAAUACAUAGGGUGCGGAAGCUAACCCGGGGAACUGAAACAUCUAAGUACCCGGAGGAAAAGAAAUCAACCGAGAUUCCCUGAGUAGUGGCGAGCGAAAGGGGACCAGCCCUAAAGUGCUGGGGAUGCUAGUGGAACGGAUUGGAAAGUCCGGUCAUAGAGGGUGAUAACCCCGUACACGAAAGCUGAACCAGUAUUAUUCGAGUAGGUCGGGACACGUGAAAUCCUGACUGAAUAUGGGGGGACCAUCCUCCAAGGCUAAAUACUCUCUACCGACCGAUAGUGAACCAGUACCGUGAGGGAAAGGCGAAAAGAACCCCGGAGAGGGGAGUGAAAUAGAACCUGAAACCGUAUGCGUACAAGCAGUCGGAGCCCCGCAAGGGGUGACGGCGUACCUUUUGUAUAAUGGGUCAGCGACUUACUUUUAGUGGCAAGCUUAACCGUUUAGGGUAGGCGUAGGGAAACCGAGUCUUAAUUGGGCGUCCAGUCGCUAAGAGUAGACCCGAAACCGGGCGAUCUAGCCAUGGCCAGGAUGAAGGUGGGGUAACACCUACUGGAGGUCCGAACCGGGAUCUGUUGAAAAAGAUUCGGAUGAGCUGUGGCUAGGAGUGAAAGGCUAAUCAAGCUCGGAGAUAGCUGGUUCUCCUCGAAAGCUAUUUAGGUAGCGCCUCGUGUCUCACUCUCGGGGGUAGAGCACUGUUAUGGCUAGGGGGUCAUCCCGACUUACCAAACCAUUGCAAACUCCGAAUACCGAGAAGUGCAAUCACGGGAGACACACGGCGGGUGAUAAGGUCCGUCGUGGAAAGGGAAAGAGCCCAGACCGCCAGCUAAGGUCCCAAAAUCACAGCUCAGUGGUAAACGAUGUGGGAAGGCACAGACAGCCAGGAGGUUGGCUUAGAAGCAGCCAUCCUUUAAAGAAAGCGUAACAGCUCACUGGUCGAGUCGGCCUGCGCGGAAGAUGUAACGGGGCUUAAGCUGUGUACCGAAGCUGCGGAUGCCAGUUUACUGGCAUGGUAGAGGAGCGUUCUGUAAGCCUGUGAAGGUGUGCCGGGAGGCAUGCUGGAGGUAUCAGAAGUGCGAAUGCUGACAUGAGUAACGAUAAUGCGGGUGAAAAACCCGCACGCCGAAAACCCAAGGUUUCCUGCGCAACGCUAAUCGGCGCAGGGUGAGUCGGCUCCUAAGGCGAGGCCGAAAGGCGUAGUCGAUGGGCAACAGGUUAAUAUUCCUGUACUUCAAAUAACUGCGAUGGGGCGACGGAGAAGGCUAAAUCAGCCGGGUGUUGGAUGUCCCGGUUCAAGCGCGUAGGGAGUGUUCCCAGGUAAAUCCGGGAAUACAAUCCUGAGACGUGACGACGAGCGCCCUUUUAGGGAGCGAAGUGAUUGAUGCCAUGCUUCCAGGAAAAACCUCUAAGCUUCAGGUUAUUUGAAACCGUACCCCAAACCGACACAGGUGGGUGAGGAGAGAAUCCUAAGGCGUUUGAGAUAACUCUGGUGAAGGAACUCGGCAAAAUAACACCGUAACUUCGGGAGAAGGUGUGCCCUUGGUACGUGAAGGCCCUCGCGGCUGGAGCGGAAGAGGGUUGCAGUGAUCAGGUGGCUGCGACUGUUUACUAAAAACACAGCACUCUGCAAACUCGUAAGAGGACGUAUAGGGUGUGACGCCUGCCCGGUGCCGGAAGGUUAAUUGAUGGGGUCAGCCGCAAGGCGAAGCUCUUGAUCGAAGCCCCGGUAAACGGCGGCCGUAACUAUAACGGUCCUAAGG
Molecule: ribosomal RNA, 1919 nt
Filed under: Gammaproteobacteria bacterium
Lineage: Bacteria; Pseudomonadati; Pseudomonadota; Gammaproteobacteria
Description: partial 23S ribosomal RNA
Rfam family: Bacterial large subunit ribosomal RNA
Source: RNAcentral